RNAcentral lists this ribosomal RNA (497 nucleotides) under uncultured bacterium. Its description in RNAcentral is "partial 16S ribosomal RNA". It matches the Rfam family "Bacterial small subunit ribosomal RNA", at positions 28 to 507 of the family's 1533-position model. The record is from RNAcentral.
GAUGAACGCUGGCGGCGUGCCUAAUACAUGCAACUCGAGCGAACAGACGAGGAGCUUGCUCCUCUGACGUUAGCGGCGGACGGGUGAGUAACACGUGGAUAACCUACCUAUAAGACUGGGAUAACUUCGGGAAACCGGAGCUAAUACCGGAUAAUAUAUUGAACCGCAUGGUUCAAUAGUGAAAGACGGUUUUGCUGUCACUUAUAGAUGGAUCCGCGCCGCAUUAGCUAGUUGGUAAGGUAACGGCUUACCAAGGCAACGAUGCGUAGCCGACCUGAGAGGGUGAUCGGCCACACUGGAACUGAGACACGGUCCAGACUCCUACGGGAGGCAGCAGUAGGGAAUCUUCCGCAAUGGGCGAAAGCUUGACGGAGCAACGCCGCGUGAGUGAUGAAGGUCUUCGGAUCGUAAAACUCUGUUAUUAGGGAAGAACAAAUGUGUAAGUAACUAUGCACGUCUUGACGGUACCUAAUCAGAAAGCCACGGCUAACUACGUG